AGGUGUUUUGAUUAAAUGUGAGUUUGUAUAUCUUAAAAUUAGUCUGAAGUAACCCGGCCAGUGCAGGACCACAUGCCAUUCCAAGUGCACUAGCACUAACGAAGCCUGCUGAAGCCUGCAUGCGAAUCUUAAGUGGCACACAGUCGCUGAUAUAACGUCGGUUAACAGCUCUAGCUGAACCAAACUGCACAGAUAAGUGUUAUUACUGUCUAGACAACAAAAGAUAAAUCAUAUAUAUGCAUGGACGUGGCUGUUGCUGUGAUGUGCAAAGACAAAUUAAUUCCACAAAGUGAAAUACAUACCCGCAAAAUAGUCGUCCAAUAAGAAGAAUAGUUAUUGAAUUGAAAUCAAAGCCAACGCGUACAAGACAUUUCCUAGAAAAAGAGCUAUGCUGCUAAACAGCAAAGGCUUGAAGUAUGACUUGUUAGACCAAGCACUGAAGUAUACAGAAGAGAAAAUCUGAGCGACAGCCAUUGAUCCAAUUAUAACACC
RNAcentral lists this long non-coding RNA (492 nucleotides) under Coffea arabica (coffee). RNAcentral's name for it is "long non-coding RNA (CARA_LNC006108)". The record is from RNAcentral. Lineage: Eukaryota; Viridiplantae; Streptophyta; Magnoliopsida; Gentianales; Rubiaceae.